RNAcentral lists this long non-coding RNA (2150 nucleotides) under Equus caballus (horse). Its description in RNAcentral is "lncRNA (ENSECAG00000042430.2)". Lineage: Eukaryota; Metazoa; Chordata; Mammalia; Perissodactyla; Equidae. The record is from RNAcentral.
UUCAUUAAGAAUAAUUUUCAAUGACCACUUGUUCUAUUUGUUUUUAAGUGAAAUACUUUUGACAAUGCAGCAGUACCUAAUGGCUUCAGUACUGCGUAUUUUAAGAGCUCACAAUAGCUUCUAUUUGAUACUAAUGAAACCUGUCACUGAUUUGAGAAGAAAAAACAAAAGUUUUGACUUAGAAUAGUGCCCAAGUAAGGGUUUAAGUUUCUGCAAAACAAGAGUGCUGGAAUUUAGUCCAAAGCCCUUAGGCUUGCUGGGCAAUGAAUUCACCUGCUGGAGACUGAGAACACUUGACGUUGCCUAAUAAAUGGGGCACUCACUGACCAUGUGAUAGUCUACUCUGCCCCAAGCAAAAUGUCACAGAACUGCUGCCACUUCUGCAUUUCUCAAAAAAAAAAAAAAAAAAAAAAAGGUUAGGAAUUCUAGUUAGUAUACAGUUAAGCCAGAGGGAGUUCUCCUUCUGUGUUCUAUAGGUAAACAAUCUGAAGACCAAGCAAUUAUUGCAAUUGUUUCACCAUUACCAAUAAGUUUUUCUAGAAAACUAACCAUGUUCUCUUUAUCCUCAACACCAUGUAUAAUAACACUUGUGAUUGAAUACCCCCUUUUUUCUUGAUGAGAGAAGGCUAAUUUUUCCAGGUAACUGCCCGUAAGUGGUGACCACAGAUAUAAUCGCUUUCUAAAUUCUGAUUGAUCUAAAUGAGUCAACCUAAUUCACCCUCCUUAAAUGUAUGAUUUAAGCAAGAAUAAUAAGUAUUUCCGACCUAUAACAGAUAGAGAGUGUCUGCUGGAACACUUCUGAGAAAUAUAUUCUCACUUUAAAGUUGAAAUUUUGUAUAUGGGAAAUAAAAAAAAAAGAUAUUUGGUAAAUGAUAUGGUUGAGAUAUUGAAUUAAUCAGUCUUCAAUUUCCUAUUAGUAUGUACACAUUUUCUCCUUGUUUAAGCCUGCUGAAACUAGAUUUUCUUUUACUUACAGCCAAAAGCACUCCAACAUGCCACUUUAACAUGUUUGUGAGGGCAUAAUCAGUCCAUGAUCAUCUGCUUAGCGGCUUGUCUCAAUGGUCAGGUUGUUAUCCCUUGCCUCAACUUGUCCUUAUUGUUCCACCACAUAAUCAAUCGCUGGAUAGUCCAUCCUGAUAAGUUCCACUUGCUGAAAGCUCUUUCCCAUUUGAGGAGAGCAACAGAAGUGAACUUGUAUUAAAAUAGAUGCAACCAAUGCUGAUGGUGUUAUAUGUGAUGGCAUUGUAUGAAUGGGAGCACCACUGUUUAACAGUUCUUCACUCAGACUGUCCUGGUUGCCCACAAAACGUUCUUUGAAACAACAGAAUAAAGGUUAAAUUCUCUGCCAGACACUGAAGACAAUGUUUACAUGCUGUUUUAAUAAGCAAAAGGAGCACAGUUAUUGGAAAGAUAUUUAGAUCAAGCUAGUUAUCUACCUUACCCCUAACAAACUGCAAGAAGAAGAAAUGCAAAACACUUCAAUAAAUCACAGAUUCUUUACCAGCAUCAGGAACAUUUCUGGCUCUUGACCCUCAAAAAUGGAUUGUCUAGUAAAUUUUGGACUCUCUUUUCAUAAUAAAAUUUAAAUAAGAUAUACAUUUGAGUUCUGGAAAUUCUUGCCUAUACAUCAAGGCAUGGAAUAGUGGAGCACUAAAAUCCUUUACUCUGAAGGCAAAAGUGUUGAUUAGGAAAUCAUAGGGUCUAUAAGUCCCCCAGUGGAUGACUUACAUACAGUUAAAAACACAUUUUAGAAUUUAUUUGCUUACAAAACUUUCAUGAAGAUAAAAAGGACAGCAAAAGGAAAAAUUCCUCAGCAUUGUAAUCCACAGCAGAUCCUACAAAACGUUGAAUGAAUUGGAUCAAAGAGAACAUGGUGUGACAACCGAAUGAGGCAGCGGGAAACAGGGCAGAACCGCAGCCCAACACAGACAGAUAACAAGGAAUUAAAAGUAGGUGCUUUGUGGAGCCCACUGAAGGAUAGCAACCACCUUUAAAUGCACUUGAAUAAAGACCCAAUUUAAGAUUUUAGAUCUGAGAUACUGACGAGGCAAAGUGUAAAAAUUGUCUUCAAUCAGUAAUAGGAUACUGCUCUAAGAAAAUACAUAUCUGGCAUAAGUUAGCGUAGAGCAAGAAGAGGACCUGGAAACUGG